Molecule: ribosomal RNA, 102 nt
Filed under: Aeromonas salmonicida
Lineage: Bacteria; Pseudomonadati; Pseudomonadota; Gammaproteobacteria; Aeromonadales; Aeromonadaceae
Description: partial 16S ribosomal RNA
Rfam family: Bacterial small subunit ribosomal RNA
Source: RNAcentral
UUAAAUUGAAGAGUUUGAUCAUGGCUCAGAUUGAACGCUGGCGGCAGGCCUAACACAUGCAAGUCGAGCGGCAGCGGGAAAGUAGCUUGCUACUUUUGCCGG